CCCGUGUAAACAUACCGCCAUGAUCUCCCUCGUUUCGUUCAUUCUUUGAAUUGAAGUGAGCCUCAGACUGUGAUUGGUGUAUGUCUUUCUCGUGCCAGCCUCUUUGCAUAUUUUGGGCAGCAUUUGGGACAGAUAAUUGACUCCCAAAGGAACUGCAGUGUACCAGAUCUCAUCGCUGAUAAAAUACGUCCUUUUGGGCUGUAGGUAGAGCGCUUUUGCGUCGGCGGGAAUUUUGCUCAAAUAUUUCUCCAGAGAGGCAACCGGACACAGCGGAUUGCCAGGCUCUUCAUACAUAGCUUUCCGUUUUCUCUUGCCUUCCCUUUCCUGCGGGUUCUUCAUGUCCUCGUUUAAUGUCAUCGUGAAGUAUUUGAAUCCGUUUUGGUCUCGGUUCAAAACAAACGCGUUUGGCUGCAGGUGUCGGUUGCCCUCCUUACCCCUGAGUCCGAAAUGUAAUUGGAUGUCAUACCACACCUUAUUUAACAAGCCUUUUGGGUUGCCAGGGUCCAGUGCAGCAGAAUGUUUCAGCAUGUGCUGAUCUUCGAGUGAAAUCGGAGGGUAAUGUGCUGUUAUAUCCCUACCGGAGCGUCGCAUCUGCUUAACAACCCCUUUAAAAACAUUGUUGGCGGACCUGAAUUCGGCGUCCUGCAUCAGAUUCCACGCGCGGUUGAGGGGAGGGUCGUUGAUGAAGCGAUUCAACCCAGCCCGAAGCCCGACAUAGCUGCUGAUACCGUACAACUCUCCCUUGCUCGUCCGAAUAGAUCCAUAAAACUCGCGCAGCACUGGGUUCAGCUCCGACUUUUCGGCGGUUUUAAAGUCGAUUGUCAGCUGCUUCUCGCGCAGCCAGGCUUUAAAACAGUUCACAGCCCAUAUUGUUUGCUUUACAGUACUCGAUUCGUUUCGGUUGUGCUCUAAUUCGUCUAAAUCCGCUGAUGACACAUUUGCACACCUGGAUAUUUGUGUGCUGCUAUCUGUGGGCUCUCCUCCCUCCGUCUCUUCCUCUUCACCUGAAGAGCUUUCGCACUUUAGGUCAAACAUUAUAUUCAUGGGAACAAGAUCCGUUGGUUAAAUUGGUGUCUGCUUUCUUCUAAUAUAUCAUAAAUGCUCAAGGUGUUCGUAGGAUCAUACAUGGCAUCCAAACUAACCUUUCCAUGUCUGUACAAAGCUCGAAUGAACCAGUAUUUUAAGCGGCUUGCUGACCUGUAUAAAUUCACAGCCACGAGUGUUUUCAGGAUUUCUUUGUUCUUCUUCAUGGAGAUACUGGCGGAUGGAGAGUCGCAGAAACAUACCGCCCCCUACCGUUUACUGUGCAAGCAACAGGAGCGAUCUGAUCAUCCAAACCAUCGAGUUCUGUUCUCCACUUUUAUGUAAAAGUCAUUUUAUUUAACCUUUGAUACCUUAUCACUGAUUUGUUAUCAUGCAAAAGCAAAUAAAAAUUUGAAAUGUUCGGUCA
Long non-coding RNA from Ctenopharyngodon idella (grass carp), 1450 nucleotides. RefSeq lists it as uncharacterized. The record is from RefSeq and is a predicted model, not a curated record. Lineage: Eukaryota; Metazoa; Chordata; Actinopteri; Cypriniformes; Xenocyprididae. The transcript is spliced from 2 exons.